RNAcentral lists this ribosomal RNA (325 nucleotides) under uncultured bacterium. RNAcentral's name for it is "bacterial SSU rRNA". It matches the Rfam family "Bacterial small subunit ribosomal RNA", at positions 28 to 334 of the family's 1533-position model. The record is from RNAcentral.
GACGAACGCUGGCGGCGCGCCUAACACAUGCAAGUCGAACGGAACGAAUUUCUAGAAGUUUUCGAAUGGAAGGGAAUAAGUUUAGUGGCGGACGGGGGAGUAACGCGUGAGUAACCUGCCUUUUAGAGGGGGAUAACGUUUAGAAAUGAACGCUAAUACCGCAUAACAUAUAAGUUUCGCAUGGGACUGAUAUCAAAGGAGAAAUCCGCUAAAAGAUGGACUCGCGUCCAAUUAGCUAGUUGGUAGGGUAAAGGCCUACCAAGGCGACGAUUGGUAGCCGGACUGAGAGGUUGACCGGCCACAUUGGGACUGAGACACGGCCCAG